GGCGGCGUAGCUCAGUUGGUUAGAGCAUCGUAAUCAUAAUCCGAGUGUCCGGGGUUCGAAUCCCUGCGCCGCUACCA
This 77-nucleotide transfer RNA is filed under the name Candidatus Zophobacter franzmannii. RNAcentral describes it as "tRNA-Met". It matches the Rfam family "tRNA". From Rfam's summary of the family: Transfer RNA (tRNA) molecules are approximately 80 nucleotides in length. Their secondary structure includes four short double-helical elements and three loops (D, anti-codon, and T loops). Lineage: Bacteria; Pseudomonadati; Candidatus Cloacimonadota; Cloacimonadia (SeqCode); Cloacimonadales (SeqCode). The record is from RNAcentral.